GACGAACGCUGGCGGCGUGCCUAAUACAUGCAAGUCGAACGCUUCUUUCCUCCCGAGUGCUUGCACUCAAUUGGAAAGAGGAGUGGCGGACGGGUGAGUAACACGUGGGUAACCUACCCAUCAGAGGGGGCUAACACUUGGAAACAGGUGCUAAUACCGCAUAACAGUUUAUGCCGCAUGGCAUAAGAGUGAAAGGCGCUUUCGGGUGUCGCUGAUGGGUGGACCCGCGGUGCAUUAGCUAGUUGGUGCGGUAACGGCUCACCAAGGCCACGAUGCAUAGCCGACCUGAGAGGGAGAUCGGCCACACUGGGACUGAGACACGGCCCAGACUCCUACGGGAGGCAGCAGUAGGGAAUCUUCGGCAAUGGACGAAAGUCUGACCGAGCAACGCCGCGUGAGUGAAGAAGGUUUUCGGAUCGUAAAACUCUGUUGUUAGAGAAGAACAAGGACGUUAGUAACUGAACGUCCCCUGACGGUAUCUAACCAGAAAGCCACGGCUAACUACGUG
Molecule: ribosomal RNA, 508 nt
Filed under: uncultured bacterium
Lineage: Bacteria
Description: partial 16S ribosomal RNA
Rfam family: Bacterial small subunit ribosomal RNA
Source: RNAcentral